Amaranthus tricolor (Joseph's coat) is the source of this 4872-nucleotide RNA transcript. RefSeq lists it as uncharacterized. Lineage: Eukaryota; Viridiplantae; Streptophyta; Magnoliopsida; Caryophyllales; Amaranthaceae. The record is from RefSeq and is a predicted model, not a curated record. The transcript is spliced from 12 exons.
CUAUGACCAGUCAUACACUCUGGGCUAUUUGAAGUGGGACUGAACCGAAGCUACGGUAGCAAACUAGCAAUUGCUAAACAGGCUAGUUUCAUGGUACCAGUAGUACCAUUGAGAUCGAAUCUUCUGGUGUAAUUGGUUUUAGGUUAGGAUGUCGACCAAUCUGAGGGUGGGAGUUGGUGAUGGCGGAUGGUCAGAGGAAUACGAUUGCGUUCCGCUGCGGUUACGAUUGAAGAUGUUGCAUUUAAUUAAACAUCAAAAGGAAUUUGUAAAAGUUAAAUCUGAGCCUCAGACAAUAUGUGGUUGUUUUGCUGAAAGUGAAACUGUAACUGAAAAGCAGCUGAUUCAAAGUGCAAAUUGUUCUAGCAUGGUCUUAUUUGCCAAAGAUUUAGAAUUACGGAUUCAGCAAGCUUCAGAUAGUCGUGCUGAUCGUUAUGAGGAAUGUCCUAAAGACUAUGGUCUAUCGCAAUUUGAAAAUUGCUUCAUUUCUUCUAGUAAAGUGCUAGCUUCUGAAGCACAAGCUGACACUGAGCAACUUAAAGAUCUAGCAGGUGCUUCUUUACAUCGAACAACAUCAGAUGUUCCUCAUAACAUUCUGCAAGACUGCUUAAUGAGCUACACUAGUGAAAGUGGGCAAGCUAGUGAUGUUAAGCAAGAGAUUUUCUACGAUUUUGAUGAUACUCUGGAUAACAUUUUGUUGAAAGAACGUAGGAAAAUGUUAUUAUUCAGGAAAUUCAUGGAAUCUUCUAGAUCAAAUGCCGAGGAGCAGGAUGACGGAGGGUUGUCUACUUUUUCUAAAGUUAUGCUUCAAAGUGCCGGAAAUGAUUUCAUCCGAGAUGUAGUGAUUGAGAAUAAUAUAGAUCAUGAAGUAAAUGGCUACGAAAAUCUCGGUUCAGAAAUUGCAACUGAUGGGACAUUCCAUACUUCUAAGUACUGCUCAUCAUCUUUGACUGAAUCUUUAGUAUCAAUUAAGUCCAUCCCUUUGACUGCAGGGUGCAAAUCUUUUUGCACCCAAGAAACUACUAUUGUGGAAACAUCAGUUUUACCAUCGCUUGCAAAAGUGAAAGAUGAACCAGUUGAUAUUAAUGAACAGUACUGUGAAGGAAAUAAUGUCAUGCCAAACUCUUACAUUGACCAAACCUUAAGUGUGAAGAAUGAGCCCGUGUUUUCUGAAUUUAUUCUGGACGAGUUAGAUCACUUGCCACUCGCUUAUCGGGUCAAAUUUCUGUCAUCUGGAAUUCCGAGCUCAGAUGCAUCUGGAACACCUGAGAUCAUGGAAGAUGGGGCAUCAGCAAUGGAAUUUGGUAGUGAUGUCUUUGAGUCUGUCAAAUCAAUCAGCAUGAGUCGGCCUAAGAAGAAGAGAAGAACUGCAACUGAUUCAGUUGAGACUGCGUUAGAGGAAGAUGCUCCUGGGCUUUUAAAGGUUUUGCUUGACAGAGGAGUAUUAGCCGAAGAAAUAAAACUAUAUGGGGAAGCAAAUACUGACGACGCCCUUGAUGAUUCUAUUGGUGAAGUUGGUUUUGCAGAGCUUGAAGCUGUUAUAUCACAGCUAUUUUGGCAACGUCAAACUUUUCUUAAAUUUCCUCAUUUACGCUCCAAGGGUGCGAAAAUCGACUAUUGCUUGUCUUGUCUCCUUUCACUUGUAGAGCAGACAAGAUAUUUGCGAAAUAAAAAGUGGCCAAUUGAAUGGGGUUGGUGCCGAGACCUUCAAUCUUUUAUAUUUGUGUUCCAAAGACAUAACAGAAUUGUUUUGGAACGUCCAGAAUAUGGUUUUGCGACAUACUUUUUUGAGCUGCUGAAUUCUGUUCCUGUGGCGUGGCAGAUCAAGCGUCUAGUGACCGCAAUGAAGCUUACAAGCUGUGGCCGGAUCACCUUAAUAGAAAAUAGACCUCUGGUGGUAAUCUACCUUGACUAAUUUUAUGGAUUUCUUUAGUUCUGUCAUCCGCUGAUAAUUUUAUGAACUUGAAAAGAAUUCAUAAAAGAUGCAAGGGUGUCGUUUUUAACACAAAUAAUCAUAGCAAGGAUGUUGUAAAGUUAGAUACAAGUGAGCUCUUUGUAAGUGAGUGUUUUAAGUACAUUGGAUCAAUAUUUCACGAUAACAAAGAUAUUAAUCAAGAUGUAAAACUUAUGAUUCAGUGAGGGUGACAUAAAAAGGAAAGCUGCUACUGCACUAGCAUGCGAUCGAGGUAUGAAAGGUUACAUUGGAUUGCCAUUAUAUCAACGCUAUCAUAUGGAUUAGAAUGUUGGAUUUUCAGGAGAUAUCAUCAUAAGAAGGUAGGGGUAGCUUAGAUUGCAUAGGUCUAGUGAGCAAAUACAAUUUUGGUUGCGGUAAAAAUUGCAGAAUGACUUUGCUGUCAAUGCAUAUGGUUUCGUGGUUGUAUUAACCGAUAUUUUUCCAAGUACUACCUCAUAAGUCUUUAUAAUACAAUUGCGAUAUUGUGAUGUAGAUAAGUAUUACGUUAGGGCUGAUAACGUAUAAUAUUUGUAUUAAGGAUCUCUCAUGUUAAUUUAUUUGGUUAAUGUGGCCAACCCUAUAGGUUAGGAUCAAGACUUUGACAAUGUCAUUGGCGUCGUUGGUAGUGUCACUUGUUUCGCACGCUUCCCCCAUAAAUCUCGGUUGGAUGUGAUCGUCCCAAAUUAAAGUACGUUUGCAGGUCAAAUUGCCCUAGGUCAUGAUUUGAAUUCAGUCAAAUCACCGAUCUGAAGUGUGGGGUUUUUCUCUUACAAACCAAAUAUGAUUCUUCAAGCUCUUCUAUUGAAUCCUCCUUCUAGAAAUUACCACCGCCUGAAGAAGCUCUACACUGAUUCAAGACACUUCACAUUCAACCAUUGUGUACUAUGUUUUUUGUUUCUUUAACUUUUGCAAAAGGGGUGAAACAAUUGAGGAAGAAGGGGCGUUUUCUAUUUUUAAAAUGAGGAAUGGUUUCUGGUUUUGUGUGUAUAACUGUACAAGUGAAGAAGUUCAUAGUAUAAUCUUUAACAUUUUUCUCUCUUUCUUUUACUUUUCUUUUUUCUCGACCUUUUCUUGACUAAAAAAUACAUUUUUCAUUAAAAUGUUGGUUUACAUCUAAGAAGGUCCACUUAGAUCCAAAAUGCUUUGCAUGAGUGAAAAAUGACAUGAAGAACUAUGAUUUGCAGGAAUAUAUGGCAAUAGAUAGAAAUGAAUGAAAAUAGGAAAUAUAUGUAUAAUCAUUGAAAAUUGAUUUUGUCAGUCCUAAAUUAAUAUAAGUACUAGAUAUAGCUGAAUAAUCUUUGUUAGAAUGAUUUUCCACACUUACAUGUAGCUAGCCUCAUAUUAUUGGGAUUAAGACUUAAGCAUUGUUGUUGAAGUGUACUAGUGAGUGGUGAAGACCUUUUUCUUUUGGAGGAUUCUUGGGCAAAAGAAUCCUUUAGUACUGUUUGAUGUGGAUUUUUCAUAGGACCAUACUACUCGCUUAGUAUUCAUGGUGGAAAUGGGCCAUACUAUAUCUUUAUUUUACUCUUGGAGGAAUCUUCGUGAAUGAGUUGGAGCUGGUACAAUCAAUUACAUAGUCACCUACAAAUAAAUUAUGGCCUUCCUCUUUUUUUCUUUUUCUUUUCAUAUAAGUGUUAAAGUAGUUAGAAGCAUUGGAUAUCAGUUGAGUGAAUGAGAAAUAGGAGAAAAUAAGUGAAGAGAAGAAUGGGGAAAGGUUGAAGGUAGGAUAGAUUUUUGCUGCAAGCUUACUAGCAGGUCAGACUUUCAGAGAGGUCUGGAGCUAUACAUGAGGUACAAUAAUUCAUCCUUUUGUCAUGUUAUGUUUCUUUUUCCCUUUUACUAUCCACAUAAGCACAAAGGCUCCAGAGAUUUCUGACACAUUCACAGUAGAUUUUACAGCUAAUUUUUAUUCUUGCCCUCUUGUUGCUCCUUGAUAUGGAAGCAUUAAUAUCUUGCUUGAUUCAUGACAAUCAUGUGUAUCUGAUGUUUUCCUUGUUGAAAAACAAAAAUAUUUGCUUUUUAGCGUUCUCGGGAUUAGCUAGCUGCCUUAUUACUUAAAUAUGAUUUUUAGAGGUUUGCGAGUUCACUAAAUUGAAGGGAAAAUGGUGAUGAUUACUGCCCUUUGUUGGGAAUUUAGAGUUGUAUAAUGGUCAAAAGAGUGUCAAAUCUUAACAAACUAAUUUGUAAGGUACUUUCUGUGGUCAUAUUCUAAUUAUACGCUAGUCAACGAAUUUUCCUUUGUAAUUGUUUUAUGUGCGGUGUCGUUGGACCAUCGUUUUACAAAAUUCUCUUCAGCCUACUUCCGCAAAAGAAGAUUUUCUUGCUUUUUAAUAUUGAUGUUGCUUUGAGCAUUUUGCUAGAUCAUAUAGUCCUAUAUAGGCUGCUGGUAUCGACUCUCCUUUCCUUUGUUUUGCUGAAGAAGGAUUUUGACUAUGCCUAUUUUAAUUAAGUUGUUGCAUUUGCCAAGACAGGUCUCCUUGGCAAUAAGACCUAUGCCUUCCAUUUAGUGGCCUGGCUCAAACAAAUAUUUUUGGAAUGCAUUUAUCUUGGACUCAUUUUCACAUAAUUCUUUUUCUGGGUCUGCAUGUGCCUGUGUCUACAUGAUCCUGACUAUGGUAUGAAUCAACCCAUUAUCAGCCUAUUACUUGUUCCAUGUUUCUAAGUCUUUUAGUUGAUUCUACAAUUCCCUUGUGUUACAGUUGUUUCAUCUCUGCCCUCUUCGCCCUAUUUGCUUCCAUUUUAUGUUCGGCUAUGUGAAGCGUUGCUUUGUGCUUGAUGUAAAAGGUCGGAGAAGACUUAAGUGAAGGGGAAGCUCAAGUUUUAGCUGAUUACGGAUGGACUCCAAACACCGGCUUGGGAACAAUGUUAAAUUACUGCGACAGAGUUUUUCACGACCGGAAGCAGCAGUUCGACAGCUCAGA